GGAGGGUACGCGAAUUGGCUAGCAGCCUGACUCGAAAUCAGGUGUCCCGUAAGGGAUUGGGGGUUCGAGUCCCCUGCCCUCCG
RNAcentral lists this transfer RNA (83 nucleotides) under Planctomycetales bacterium. Its description in RNAcentral is "tRNA-Ser". It matches the Rfam family "tRNA". From Rfam's summary of the family: Transfer RNA (tRNA) molecules are approximately 80 nucleotides in length. Their secondary structure includes four short double-helical elements and three loops (D, anti-codon, and T loops). Lineage: Bacteria; Pseudomonadati; Planctomycetota; Planctomycetia; Planctomycetales. The record is from RNAcentral.